Molecule: ribosomal RNA, 550 nt
Filed under: uncultured bacterium
Lineage: Bacteria
Description: bacterial SSU rRNA
Rfam family: Bacterial small subunit ribosomal RNA
Source: RNAcentral
GAUCCUGGCUCAGAACGAACGCUGGCGGCGUGCCUAACACAUGCAAGUCCAACGUGAAAGGGGAGCAAUCCCCCGGUAGGGUGGCAAACGGGUGAGUAAUACAUGGGUGAUCUACCUUAGGGAUGGGGAUAUCCUUCCGAAAGGAGGGGCAAUACCGAAUAUUGUCCGGAGCCGUGAAGGGUUCCGGGGAAAGGGAGGCCUCUGAUACAAGCUUUCGCCUUAAGAUGAGCCCAUGGCCCAUCAGCUAGUUGGUAGGGUAAAGGCCUACCAAGGCUACGACGGGUCGCUGGUCUGAGAGGACGACCAGCCACACUGGCACUGAGAUACGGGCCAGACUCCUACGGGAGGCAGCAGUGAGGAAUAUUGCGCAAUGGGGGAAACCCUGACGCAGCAACGCCGCGUGUGGGAAGAAGGCCUUCGGGUCGUAAACCACUUUUGCACGGGACGAAAAAGGGAUAUCGAACAAAUAUCCCCGAUGACGGUACCGUGAGAAUAAGCCACGGCUAACUCUGUGCCAGCAGCCGCGGUAAGACAGAGGUGGCAAGCGUUG